RNAcentral lists this ribosomal RNA (472 nucleotides) under uncultured bacterium. Its description in RNAcentral is "bacterial SSU rRNA". It matches the Rfam family "Bacterial small subunit ribosomal RNA", at positions 353 to 843 of the family's 1533-position model. The record is from RNAcentral.
AGUGGGGAAUCUUGGACAAUGGGCGCAAGCCUGAUCCAGCCAUGCCGCGUGAGUGAUGAAGGCCUUAGGGUCGUAAAGCUCUUUCGCCAGGGAUGAUAAUGACAGUACCUGGUAAAGAAACCCCGGCUAACUCCGUGCCAGCAGCCGCGGUAAUACGGAGGGGGUUAGCGUUGUUCGGAAUUACUGGGCGUAAAGCGUACGUAGGCGGACCAUUAAGUAAGGGGUGAAAUCCCAGGGCUCAACCCUGGAACUGCCUCUUAAACUGCUGGUCUUGAGUUCGAGAGAGGUGAGUGGAAUUCCGAGUGUAGAGGUGAAAUUCGUAGAUAUUCGGAGGAACACCAGUGGCGAAGGCGGCUCACUGGCUCGAUACUGACGCUGAGGUACGAAAGUGUGGGGAGCAAACAGGAUUAGAUACCCUGGUAGUCCACACCGUAAACGAUGAAUGCCAGUCGUCGGGUAGCAUGCUAUUCGG